This 468-nucleotide ribosomal RNA is filed under the name uncultured bacterium. RNAcentral describes it as "partial 16S ribosomal RNA". It matches the Rfam family "Bacterial small subunit ribosomal RNA", at positions 28 to 507 of the family's 1533-position model. The record is from RNAcentral.
GACGAACGCUGGCGGCGUGCUUAACACAUGCAAGUCGAACGGAAAGGCCCUGCUUUUGUGGGGUGCUCGAGUGGCGAACGGGUGAGUAACACGUGAGUAACCUGCCCUUGACUUUGGGAUAACUUCAGGAAACUGGGGCUAAUACCGGAUAGGAGCUCCUGCUGCAUGGUGGGGGUUGGAAAGUUUCGGCGGUUGGGGAUGGACUCGCGGCUUAUCAGCUUGUUGGUGGGGUAGUGGCUUACCAAGGCUUUGACGGGUAGCCGGCCUGGGAGGGUGACCGGCCACAUGGGGACUGAGAUACGGCCCAGACUCCUACGGGAGGCAGCAGUGGGGAAUAUUGCACAAUGGGCGGAAGCCUGAUGCAGAAACGCCGCGUGCGGGAUGACGGCUUCCGGGUUGUAAACCGCUUUGGCCUGUGACGAAGCGUGAGUGACGGUAAUGGGUAAAGAAGCACCGGCUAACUACGUG